RNAcentral lists this ribosomal RNA (402 nucleotides) under uncultured bacterium. Its description in RNAcentral is "bacterial SSU rRNA". It matches the Rfam family "Bacterial small subunit ribosomal RNA", at positions 355 to 774 of the family's 1533-position model. The record is from RNAcentral.
UGGGGAAUAUUGGACAAUGGGCGAAAGCCUGAUCCAGCAAUGCCGCGUGAGGGAUGAAGUAUUUCGGUAUGUAAACCUCGAAAGAAUGGGAAGAAUAAAUGACGGUACCAUUUAUAAGCUCCGGCUAACUACGUGCCAGCAGCCGCGGUAAUACGUAGGGAGCAAGCGUUGUUCGGAUUUACUGGGCGUAAAGGGCGCGUAGGCGGCGCGGUAAGUCACUUGUGAAAUCUCUGAGCUUAACUCAGAACGGCCAAGUGAUACUGCUGUGCUAGAGUGCGGAAGAGGCAACCGGAAUUCUUGGUGUAGCGGUGAAAUGCGUAGAUAUCAAGAGGAACACCUGAGGCGAAGGCGGGUUGCUGGGCCGACACUGACGCUGAUGCGCGAAAGCCAGGGGAGCAAACG